RNAcentral lists this ribosomal RNA (811 nucleotides) under uncultured Gemmatimonadota bacterium. RNAcentral's name for it is "bacterial SSU rRNA". It matches the Rfam family "Bacterial small subunit ribosomal RNA", at positions 85 to 896 of the family's 1533-position model. Lineage: Bacteria; Pseudomonadati; Gemmatimonadota. The record is from RNAcentral.
CAAUGGGCAACCGGCGAACGGGUGCGUAACACGUGAGCAACCUGCCGAAGUGUGGGGGAUAGCCGGCCUAACGGCCGAGUAAUACCGCAUACGAUUCCGAAGAGGCAUUUCUUUGGAAUGAAACCUACGGGGUACUUCGAGGGGCUCGCGGCCUAUCAGCUAGUUGGUGAGGUAACGGCUCACCAAGGCGACGACGGGUAGCUGGUCUGAGAGGAUGGCCAGCCACAUUGGGACUGAGAAACGGCCCAGACUCCUACGGGAGGCAGCAGUGGGGAAUCUUGCGCAAUGGCCUAACGGCUGACGCAGCGACGCCGCGUGAGGGAUGAAGCUCCUCGGAGUGUAAACCUCUGUUGCCCGGGACGAACAGCUCGUUUAAACGAGCCUGACGGUACCGGGUGAGGAAGCACCGGCUAACUCCGUGCCAGCAGCCGCGGUAAUACGGGGGGUGCGAGCGUUGUCCGGAAUCACUGGGCGUAAAGGGCGCGUAGGUGGUCUGAUAAGGGUGUGGUGAAAGUCCGGGGCUCAACCCCGGAUCUGCCGUGCCGACUGUCAGACUCGAGGACUGUAGAGGCAGGCGGAAUUCCGGGUGUAGCGGUGGAAUGCGUAGAGAUCCGGAGGAAGACCGGUGGCGAAGGCGGCCUGCUGGGCAGUUUCUGACACUGAGGCGCGACAGCGUGGGGAGCAAACAGGAUUAGAUACCCUGGUAGUCCACGCCGUAAACGAUGGGUACUAGGUGCCUGGGGGAGCGACCCUCUGGGUGCCGGCGCUAACGCAGGAAGUACCCCGCCUGGGGAGUACGGCCGCAAGGCUG